GACAAACGCUGGCGGCGUGCGUAAAACAUGCAAGUCGAACGCUCGGACUUCGGUUCGGGAGUGGCAGACGGCUGAGGAACGCGUAGGAACCUGCCCUGGAGUGGGGGAUAGCUUGCCGAAAGGUGAGGUAAUACCGCAUACGUUCGGGCUUCGGCUCGAGGAAAGCCUUCGGGUGCUCCGGGAGGGGCCGUGCGUCCGAUUAGCUGGUUGGUGGGGUAAGUGGCCUACCAAGGCGACGAUCGGUAGCUGGCUGAGAGGAUGACCAGCCAGACUGGGACUGGGACACGGCCCAGACUCCUACGGGAGGCAGCAGUUAGGAAUUUUGGGCAAUGGCCGCAAGACUGACCCAGCAACGCCGCGUGGGGGACGAAGGCCUUCGGUUG
Molecule: ribosomal RNA, 383 nt
Filed under: uncultured bacterium
Lineage: Bacteria
Description: bacterial SSU rRNA
Rfam family: Bacterial small subunit ribosomal RNA
Source: RNAcentral